RNAcentral lists this long non-coding RNA (667 nucleotides) under Sinocyclocheilus grahami. Its description in RNAcentral is "lncRNA (ENSSGRG00000000678.1)". The record is from RNAcentral. Lineage: Eukaryota; Metazoa; Chordata; Actinopteri; Cypriniformes; Cyprinidae.
UCUGCUGCUCACAACCACAAAAAGACACAAAGAUGAUGACUGCUGUUUUUCUCAGUAGAAACUGACAUCAAGCAUGAAGUUAGUGCGGACGAUUCAUCUAGACAGUUGCGUUCCACCUCUGAACUCCCUGAUCCUCAAGAUGUUGAAACCAGCUGCAGUGAAACGCUUCCAUGGCCAGAAUCUCUCUGCAUUAGUACCAGUUCUUCUCCGGAUGCAGCAAGAGCUGCUGAUGCAGUGUCUUCUGAUGAUUGCCCUGCGACUCCAGACUCGCUCAGUAAUGACCAGCACGAUUCAGACAAAGCAAGUUUCACAGAGCAGGUGAUGGAUGUUCGGACAGAAAUGUGCACCAAUGGAGAGAUCCAUCAAGUUCCUAAAUCACAGGAUCUUCAGAACAAAGCUGACAGACCCAAUAAACCACGGGCUGCAACCAUUCGUGUGAGCAGGAAGAAGCAGACGUUAUCAGGGCAGCGCCAGAGAGCCGACGUGUCUCGCAGUGAGUGUGCGGUGGCACAAUCCAGCUGGCUCGACGUAUGGAAGGGACGCAAGCACAAUGUUCUGUGGGCCACUCUAGAUGGACAUGCCAUGUCACUGUGGAAAAAGCGCACAGUGAGUUGUUUCAUAAUGGCAUUACAUUUAAUACAAAUAAAGUAUACAUUGCAAAUACUUA